RNAcentral lists this small nuclear RNA (101 nucleotides) under Cricetulus griseus (Chinese hamster). RNAcentral describes it as "U2 spliceosomal RNA (ENSCGRG00015043230.1)". It matches the Rfam family "U2 spliceosomal RNA". From Rfam's summary of the family: U2 is a small nuclear RNA (snRNA) component of the spliceosome (involved in pre-mRNA splicing). The record is from Rfam by way of RNAcentral. Lineage: Eukaryota; Metazoa; Chordata; Mammalia; Rodentia; Cricetidae.
AUCGCUUCUUGGCCUUUUGGCUAAGAUCAAGUGUAGAAAAUUAUUUAACUUUGACUUCUUGCUUUUCAAGAAAAUAAGUAAUAUGUUUUAAAGGAUUGCUU